GAGCCUCAGAUUUCCCUCCAUCAGUCAUUCAAUUGUUUUAGUUCCAAUGUGAUUUGUUUUUUGGUUGUAGCUUUUGUCGUUAGCUUUCCAACAAGGUAAGGCUUGCUCCAUUUGGAGUUGAACUGAAUUUUUGGUGAAAUUUUGAGUGUGAGGGGGUCGACUGCCUUCGCAGUUUGGAUUAAUCGAGUUUGGGAAGGCAUUUCUCAGUGCCUGAUAACUGGAUUCGUUCGAAAUUUUGGGAGCAUCGAGAUUUGUAAGCUAAGCUUUGAAGGGAACAAGUUUCGCUGGAUUUGAAGACAAUUUGAAUUUUUAGCGAAUUUCUAAGUGAAGGGGGUUGGUCGCCGCGGCAGUUUGGAUCACUCAACUUCACAGGAGCAAUUCUCACGAUUGGAUCACUAGAUUGCAAUGAGAUUUGUUGGGGCAGGAGCGUCUUUAAGUUAACCUUGCAACAACUUCUGAAUCAUUCAAUUUGGAGCUAAUUAAAAGUUUUGGCGAAUUUUGGAGUAGAAGGGGGUCGCUGCCUUCAAUCCUUGGCAUUGCCAAGGUACCUUGGCUUUUACCCCUCUUAUUUUAUUUUUACUUUUAUCUUCACAAUAACUCAUAAUCUCCACAUUUCAACUUUUGACUAAUAAAUUUUAACUUUUAACUUUUAACCUUUAAUAUUCUCACUUAAAUUUUUAAACUUUGAACUUAAACUUUUGAAUUUAAUAUUUAACUUUAAUUU
RNAcentral lists this long non-coding RNA (724 nucleotides) under Physcomitrium patens. Its description in RNAcentral is "long non-coding RNA (PPAT_LNC012145)". The record is from RNAcentral. Lineage: Eukaryota; Viridiplantae; Streptophyta; Bryopsida; Funariales; Funariaceae.